RNAcentral lists this long non-coding RNA (211 nucleotides) under Physcomitrium patens. RNAcentral's name for it is "long non-coding RNA (PPAT_LNC007547)". Lineage: Eukaryota; Viridiplantae; Streptophyta; Bryopsida; Funariales; Funariaceae. The record is from RNAcentral.
AUCUUAUUAAAGCAAAAGUUAGGACAUCUUUGGAAGAAGUAAAAGAAAAAAAAGUAGUAAUAGCCUUAGAUAGUAGUGCAUCCACUUUAUUAUAAAUAGUUCAAGCAAAGCUUACAAUUGAAACUAUUGUCAUAUUUGGUGAAUGUGACUUUAAGAAAAUAAAUACAAAUCUUUCAAGUGAGAUACCAUUCGCUACAAGGAUAGUAUUUUU